This 450-nucleotide ribosomal RNA is filed under the name uncultured Glomeromycotina. Its description in RNAcentral is "SSU rRNA". It matches the Rfam family "Eukaryotic small subunit ribosomal RNA", at positions 569 to 1020 of the family's 1831-position model. Lineage: Eukaryota; Fungi; Glomeromycota. The record is from RNAcentral.
AGCAGCCGCGGUAAUUCCAGCUCCAAUAGCGUAUAUUAAAGUUGUUGCAGUUAAAAAGCUCGUAGUUGAAUUUCGGGGUCAAUACGUCGGUCGUGCCUUCGGUAUGUACUGGCUUUGCUGAUUCCUCCUUCUUGAAGAACUGUGAUGCUAUUAAUUUGGUGUUGCAAGGGAAACAGGACUGUUACUUUGAAAAAAUUAAGAGUGUUUAAAGCAGGCUAACGCUUGAAUACAUUAGCAUGGAAUAAUGAAAUAGGACGUUUGAUCCUAUUUUGUUGGUUUCUAGGAUUGACGUAAUGAUUAAUAGGGAUAGUUGGGGGCGAUUAGUAUUCAAUUGUCAGAGGUGAAAUUCUUGGAUUUAUUGAAGACUAACUACUGCGAAAGCAUUUGCCAAGGAUGUUUUCAUUAAUCAAGAACGAAAGUUAGGGGAUCGAAGACGAUCAGAUACCGUCG